Molecule: ribosomal RNA, 948 nt
Filed under: Stagonosporopsis pogostemonis
Lineage: Eukaryota; Fungi; Ascomycota; Dothideomycetes; Pleosporales; Didymellaceae
Description: partial large subunit ribosomal RNA
Rfam family: Eukaryotic large subunit ribosomal RNA
Source: RNAcentral
UUUUUUUUCCCCCGGACUAGCAUAUCAAUAAGCGGAGGAAAAGAAACCAACAGGGAUUGCCCUAGUAACGGCGAGUGAAGCGGCAACAGCUCAAAUUUGAAAUCUGGCGUCUUCGGCGUCCGAGUUGUAAUUUGCAGAGGGCGCUUUGGCAUUGGCAGCGGUCCAAGUUCCUUGGAACAGGACGUCACAGAGGGUGAGAAUCCCGUACGUGGUCGCUAGCCUCUACCGUGUAAAGCCCCUUCGACGAGUCGAGUUGUUUGGGAAUGCAGCUCUAAAUGGGAGGUAAAUUUCUUCUAAAGCUAAAUACUGGCCAGAGACCGAUAGCGCACAAGUAGAGUGAUCGAAAGAUGAAAAGCACUUUGGAAAGAGAGUUAAAAAGCACGUGAAAUUGUUGAAAGGGAAGCGCUUGCAGCCAGACUUGCCUGUAGUUGCUCAUCCGGGUUUCUACCCGGUGCACUCUUCUAUAGGCAGGCCAGCAUCAGUUUGGGCGGUUGGAUAAAGGUCUCUGUCAUGUACCUCCUCUCGGGGAGAACUUAUAGGGGAGACGACAUGCAACCAGCCCGGACUGAGGUCCGCGCAUCUGCUAGGAUGCUGGCGUAAUGGCUGUAAGCGGCCCGUCUUGAAACACGGACCAAGGAGUCUAACAUCUAUGCGAGUGUUUGGGUGUCAAGCCCGAACGCGUAAUGAAAGUGAACGGAGGUGGGAACCUUUCGGGGUGCACCAUCGACCGAUCCUGAUGUCUUCGGAUGGAUUUGAGUAAGAGCAUAGCUGUUGGGACCCGAAAGAUGGUGAACUAUGCUUGAAUAGGGUGAAGCCAGAGGAAACUCUGGUGGAGGCUCGCAGCGGUUCUGACGUGCAAAUCGAUCGUCAAAUUUGGGCAUAGGGGCGAAAGACUAAUCGAACUAUCUAGUAGCUGGUUCCUGCCGAGCUCCCCCCCGGAGAAGAAAA